CAACCCUGAUCCAGCCAUGCCGCGUGAGUGAAGAAGGCCUUCGGGUUGUAAAGCUCUUUCGGCCGGGAAGAAAUCGCAUAGGCUAAUACCCCUGUGUGGAUGACGGUACCGGAAUAAGAAGCACCGGCUAACUACGUGCCAGCAGCCGCGGUAAUACGUAGGGUGCGAGCGUUAAUCGGAAUUACUGGGCGUAAAGCGUGCGCAGGCGGUUUAGUAAGACAGGCGUGAAAUCCCCGGGCUCAACCUGGGAACUGCGCUUGUGACUGCUAAGCUAGAGUACGGCAGAGGGGGUGGAAUUCCACGUGUAGCAGUUGAAAUGCGUUAGAGAUGUGGAGGAACACCGAUGGCGAAGGCAGCCCCCUGGGUCCGAUACUGACGCUCAUGCACGAAAGCGUGGGUAGCAAACAGGAUUAGAUACCCUGGUAGUCCACGCCCUAAACGAUGUCAACUAGGUGUUGGGAGGGUAAAACCUUUUAGUACCGGAGCUAACGCGUGAAGUUGACCGCCUGGGGAGUACGGCCGCAAGGUUAAAAACUCAAAGGAAUUGUACGGG
This 553-nucleotide ribosomal RNA is filed under the name uncultured bacterium. Its description in RNAcentral is "bacterial SSU rRNA". It matches the Rfam family "Bacterial small subunit ribosomal RNA", at positions 378 to 918 of the family's 1533-position model. The record is from RNAcentral.